UACGUAGGGUGCAAGCGUUGCCCGGAUUUAUUGGGCGUAAAGGGCUCGUAGGCGGUUUGUCGCGUCGGGAGUGAAAACCAGGUGCUUAACACCUGGCUUGCUUUCGAUACGGGCAGACUAGAGGUAUGCAGGGGAGAACGGAAUUCCUGGUGUAGCGGUGAAAUGCGCAGAUAUCAGGAGGAACACCGGUGGCGAAGGCGGUUCUCUGGGCAUGACCUGACGCUGAGGAGCGAAAGUGUGGGGAGCGAACAGG
RNAcentral lists this ribosomal RNA (253 nucleotides) under uncultured bacterium. Its description in RNAcentral is "partial 16S ribosomal RNA". It matches the Rfam family "Bacterial small subunit ribosomal RNA", at positions 524 to 776 of the family's 1533-position model. The record is from RNAcentral.